RNAcentral lists this transfer RNA (76 nucleotides) under Actinomycetes bacterium. Its description in RNAcentral is "tRNA-Gly". It matches the Rfam family "tRNA". Rfam says of the family: Transfer RNA (tRNA) molecules are approximately 80 nucleotides in length. Their secondary structure includes four short double-helical elements and three loops (D, anti-codon, and T loops). Further hydrogen bonds mediate the characteristic L-shaped molecular structure. tRNAs have two regions of fundamental functional importance: the anti-codon, which is responsible for specific mRNA codon recognition, and the 3' end, to which the tRNAs corresponding amino acid is attached (by aminoacyl-tRNA synthetases). tRNAs cope with the degeneracy of the genetic code in two manners: having more than one tRNA (with a specific anti-codon) for a particular amino acid; and 'wobble' base-pairing, i.e. permitting non-standard base-pairing at the 3rd anti-codon position. The record is from RNAcentral. Lineage: Bacteria; Bacillati; Actinomycetota; Actinomycetes.
GCGGAUGUAGCCUAAUUGGUAAGGCGCUGGCCUUCCCGGCCGGAAACUAUAGGUUCAAAUCCUAUCAUCCGCUCCA